This 498-nucleotide ribosomal RNA is filed under the name uncultured bacterium. RNAcentral's name for it is "partial 16S ribosomal RNA". It matches the Rfam family "Bacterial small subunit ribosomal RNA", at positions 28 to 523 of the family's 1533-position model. The record is from RNAcentral.
GUUGAACGCUGGCGGCAUGCCUUACACAUGCAAGUCGAACGGUAACAGGUCUUCGGAUGCUGACGAGUGGCGAACGGGUGAGUAAUACAUCGGAACGUGCCUAGUAGUGGGGGAUAACUACUCGAAAGAGUGGCUAAUACCGCAUGAGAUCUACGGAUGAAAGCAAGGGAUCGCAAGACCGUGUGGUACUAGAGCGGCCGAUGGCAGAUUAGGUAGUUGGUGGGAUAAAAGCUUACCAAGCCGACGAUCUGUAGCUGGUCUGAGAGAACGAUGAGCCACACUGGGACUGAGACACGGCCCAGACUCCUACGGGAGGCAGCAGUGGGGAAUUUUGGACAAUGGGCGCAAGCCUGAUCCAGCAAUGCCGCGUGCAGGAUGAAGGCCUUCGGGUUGUAAACUGCUUUUGUACGGAACGAAAAGCCCCGGGUUAAUACCCUGGGGUCAUGACGGUACCGUAAGAAUAAGCACCGGCUAACUACGUGCCAGCCGCCGCCGUAA